UGGGGAAUAUUGGACAAUGGGGGGAACCCUGAUCCAGCCAUGCCGCGUGUGUGAAGAAGGCCUUAUGGUUGUAAAGCACUUUAAGCGAGGAGGAGGGUACUGGUAUUAAUACUACCAGGUACUGGACGUUACUCGCAGAAUAAGCACCGGCUAACUCUGUGCCAGCAGCCGCGGUAAUACAGAGGGUGCGAGCGUUAAUCGGAUUUACUGGGCGUAAAGCGUGCGUAGGCGGCUAAUUGAGUCGGAUGUGAAAUCCCCGAGCUUAACUUGGGAAUUGCAUUCGAUACUGGUUAGCUAGAGUGUGGGAGAGGAUGGUAGAAUUCCAGGUGUAGCGGUGAAAUGCGUAGAGAUCUGGAGGAAUACCGAUGGCGGAGGCAGCCAUCUGGCCUAACACUGACGCUGAGGUACGAAAGCAUGGGGAGCAAACAGG
RNAcentral lists this ribosomal RNA (430 nucleotides) under Pseudomonadota bacterium. RNAcentral's name for it is "Proteobacteria bacterium partial 16S ribosomal RNA". It matches the Rfam family "Bacterial small subunit ribosomal RNA", at positions 355 to 776 of the family's 1533-position model. Lineage: Bacteria; Pseudomonadati; Pseudomonadota. The record is from RNAcentral.